Molecule: ribosomal RNA, 293 nt
Filed under: uncultured Acidobacteriota bacterium
Lineage: Bacteria; Pseudomonadati; Acidobacteriota
Description: uncultured Acidobacteria bacterium partial 16S ribosomal RNA
Source: RNAcentral
GGACUACCAGGGUUUCUAAUCCUGUUUGCUCCCCUAGCUUUCGUUCCUCAGCGUCAGUAAGUGGUCCAGCGCGCCGCUUUCGCCACGGGUGUUCCUGCAGAUAUCUACGCAUUUCACCGCUACACCUGCAAUUCCACGCGCCUCUCCCACACUCAAGCACGGCAGUUUUGGAAGCAGCCUCUGGGUUGAGCCCAGAGAUUUCACUCCCAACUUGCCACACCGCCUACGAACCCUUUACACCCAGUAAUUCCGAACAACGCUGGCCCCCUACGUCUUACCGCGGCUGCUGGCAC